Molecule: non-coding RNA, 849 nt
Organism: Myodes glareolus (Bank vole)
Lineage: Eukaryota; Metazoa; Chordata; Mammalia; Rodentia; Cricetidae
Source: RefSeq, a predicted model, not a curated record
GGAAGUUAGCAAUGGCAGAUCAGUGCCCCCUAGUGGCUAGGAGGGGAACUGCGAGGGGUCCGGUGUUCCCCCCCUUGGAGGGGUGGGUGAGAGGCUCAAUGCUCUGCGGAAGGCAGUGGCCGGAUGAUGGAGAAGAUGGUGUACCGGACGACCCCAGUCUUUCUCUCCUGGGCGCCGGACGUCCCCCUAGCCGGGAAAGUGCAAAUUCUAUUUUGCCGCCAAAUGGCUCCGGGACCUUGGCCAGCCAGUUACCUAGGUGACUGGAGAUCGUCCUUAUAAUUAGCUCCAGCCGGCCGUCCCCGUAGCUAGGAAAUCCUGAUCCAAGAAGGCAGAGAGACAUGGGAAGCAGCAAGUUCAGGAUCACACGGAGACUUCCGAGGUAGUGCACAUAUGAACAAGUCGGAAUAUAUUUAUUUAUUCUCCUUUCUACGUAAAUCGUAACGUAUAGGACACAGUGUACACACCUCUUCAGGACCGUCAGCCCUGGACCUCGAGAGCUGGACAGCGGGACCAAGAAGACAUAUUUCUAGACACAGAUUGCUGGGCCAAAGUGGAAACUUUGAGUGAUAUGUGUCGGAUUUCACUUGCUUUAGACAUUGUUUUGAAAAUGAAAGAAGCAGCCUCUACAAGUUGCAGCCGAACAAUACGAAAACAUCACGGGAAGUCAGGAAGACUCGGCGACCACAACAGUCUCAGAAAGGCCCAUGACACUGACUCAAGCAGCCUGCCCGAGGGGGACACCGACUCAAAGUCUGCAAAGCUCGUGUGCCUUUUGUUUCCAUAAUAAAUAUUGCCCACCUCCCACAGCCUACCUGUGCCCUCCACACACACACAGCCCCUGUGUUCUCU